Long non-coding RNA from Alligator mississippiensis (American alligator), 3316 nucleotides. RefSeq lists it as uncharacterized. The record is from RefSeq and is a predicted model, not a curated record. NCBI's taxonomy places the organism in Eukaryota, Metazoa, Chordata, Crocodylia, Alligatoridae. The transcript has 3 exons.
UUGUACAUAACGUGAAGCCUGGGAGCAACUGAGCUGAGCAACCAGCCUGAGCUCCCGGACUGCGCACACAUCCUGUCCAGACUAUUCCUCCUGAAUCUCUGGAUGUUCUUUGUGGCCCCAGGAGCACCGUGGAGCAUUCAGUGAUGAGACAGAAGAAUUGUUAGACGUUCUUGUAGGGAUCAAUUUUAGCAGACAAGAGGCAUCUCCAGGUGCUGUGUUCCACUGUUUGUAAAGAUGUCCCUGGUUUAAAAGAACAGCAUGAUACUUAUGAAACUCCAAUUGGGCAUGAUUGCCCAUAGUAAAUCAGGACUACUUCCACUGCAAACCAUGGGUUGUAAAACUGCUGAAAGGAAGAGACGAAUUAAGGGCCAUGAUCUACGGUAUUUUUCUCAGUAAUUUUCUGUAAGUAUUCAUAGGAGUAGGAUUAGCCUCUGAAAAUGCAGACAAUUCCCAUGAUACAAGCCUUAGGUUAUUUGAAAUCAAGGAGUCCCCUUUCUUUACUAGGAGUACUGUAUAAUGUAUUUACAGAGGAGGUGUUACUUUGAAGUUUGGUUCUUGUCUUUGAUCAAAAGCAUACAGCCUCCCUCAUGUCUCUUGGAAAGAGACAGUAGUUAUAUUGCACUGGUGUGGUUUCUUAAUGUUUUGGACAGCAAAAAUGACAUUUACAUGAAACAGCAAUCCUGGGAACACACAAGAUAAGACAAUUUCAACUAUGAGCUGAGGAAAUAUUUCACGAGCAGUCUUUAAAUCAAGCAAAAGUAAUAAUAUGUCAUACUCACUUUGCCUCCCUUACCUGCUGUUAAUUAAAGCACUGAUAAAGGAAGUCUGUCAACAUUGAUAGGAUGAAAAGUAAAACAUGUGUUUAAAUUUUUCAAGAUGAAAGUAUUGUUAAUUGGAAAUACAGAAAAGGGGGUUUUGUAAAUGCUUUUAAUUUGGCAUGCUUGUUUAAGGAGUAUGUAUAUAAUAGGGUAGUGCAGCUCUGAAGCCCUGUCCCUUGAUGGAGGUGGGGGACAUUUUCUUUUCCUAGGCAGGAUAAAGAAAGCAGAAUGCCACUGGUCAUUAAGCAGUGUCCUCUGUAUAAGACUCUCAACAGAGCGCUAGACUUGGCAGCCAGGCAUGGCAUUAACCCAAUGGAGCCUUUUGCUUAGGACAUAAGCCUUAGGUGCUUCUGAUUCCCCAGUGCGUGUGCUUGCCAUGUACAUGUUAUCGGCCUGCAAUUCACAGCCUUUCUGAUCAGUUAAUGGAGGAGGAAAUGAAAAGCUUAUCUGCAUCACAGUUGUACUUCCAGUAACGAUGUGCCAAUGAGAAGUGAAGCUGCUUCAUUAUUCCAGUGAUUCUUAACCAGGGUGCUGCUUUGGCUGUGAGGUGUGAAGAGAUAAGCAGAUACAUUAAACAGAUAAGCACAGGCUUAGGCUUUUCCCUUCCUGGAUGAUUCCCUACCUGCACUGCCCAGCCUCUCUGCAAGGAGAGGUCUGAUGCAAUUUAGCGGCUGUCAAGGAGAAGGAAUGCCACGUGCCCAGCCAGCAAUCUGUGGAUAAUGCUCCCCAGCAGGAUACAGAGUGAGAACAUUUCCAUUAUGGCAUUUCCCUUUUGCUUUUCCUGGUACACCUGAAUUAAAAACACCGGAGUGCUGGUUCUGGGAGCUGCAUUAGGUUUUUCAGUCACAGCAUAUCGCUGCUUCGUAAUGGAAUCCAAAAAGGACUAAUGGCCAAUCUAAUUCCCACUGGAGCCUAGGGGAAGACCCCCUUCAGCUUUCCUGUGGACUGUAAUGUUCCUUAGAGGUUCACAGCUUGAAAGCUGCAACAAGAGAGUCACUCUUGCUCUCUUCUCUUUUACAACAGUGUUUUUUUUUAUGCCACUGGAAUCAUGUGUCUGACAUUUUCUGCUUUUCUUACAACUCUUCUCAUGAGAAUGGUGCACCUUUAUUUUAAUGCUUGUGGUUUUUUAGGACAGACCAAAUACGCUUUUGAACUGGCUACUCUUUAAAAUUGUCCUUUCUAAUAAAAUUAUUUACACAACACUAUUUGCAUGAUUUUAGUGAUAUAUUCAAUCAAGUGCCCUCAACGCAGAUUUCUUUUAGGAGGUGCCUCGGGCAUGGUAUAAUUUCAAAUGAUGCCCUUGAUAUAUGGCCUGAUUUUUCAAAUUGCUGUGCCCCUACAAAUUCCACUGGAGGUGCAGGUAAUCUUCACUUUCAGAAAUCAGUCGCCUGCCUUUUCCUAAUAGAGGGUGGAACGAUUACGACACACGCGUACUCUUCACUUUUUUAAGACACUUUUUAAUUAGAUGAAAUAACAACAUUGCCAUUUUGGAUGAGGAAAUUUUUUGACCUUUCAGUUUUCUGUUUUAGGAAUACUUUGCCAUUUCAUAUUUUCCCCAAAGAACACCAAGGGUAGCAGGGGAAAACUGGAAUGUCCACCCAAUCAAAUGAGGGUAUGUUGAAAAGGUCAAAGUAAUAUAUAAUAUUAUAAUAAAAAAGGAGCAGAUGAAUAUAGAAUUAAAGUUCAGAGACUUUACGUGUGAAGAGAAAAAAAAGGCCUCAGUUCUGGAAACAGCAUGGGGUCGUGGUCAAUGACACGGUGUGGAAGUUCCUAUGUAAUUCCUGUAGCAGGUUUGGGAUAGCUUUGUGCUUCCAGCAUGAGGCGAAACUACAUCCCAGAGUUGCUAAAGGAAGUUGCAGAACUGGAAUUUUUGCAAUAUUUAUACCUCUUCUAAAUAUUUCCCAGACUUAAUGCAUAUUAGAGAAGAGACACAAAUAGAAACUAACAUUGUAUAAUAACUUUCAUGAAGAAGGGAACUAGCACUUGUUUUCAGAGGUAAGAUGCAAAGACCGGUGACUGUCACUUUAAACAAGAUUCAGACAAUCUGUAACUCCGACUCUGUUGUGCAGGUCAUCAGCGCUGCCCCAGAAGAGGGUAGGCUGGAUAAAGAAGGGGCAUUGGUUAAGUGACAUGAGAUCUAACAAAAUGCGAGCUUGCAUGGGUAUGUAUGUGUAUGCAAAACAGAAUGGUUGCUUCCUGUGCCGCAUGGCUGCUUCACAAUCUCUUUGCUUUAGCUUUGCAACAUAUCUUUUCUGUUUCCUAUGCUCUCUUUCCAAUGUACCCCAGCUCUUUCAUAGUCUUUAUGCCCCACUAAUCCAUUAGGGGUGUGCAAACUGGGCCGUAUUCGAUUUGGAUUUGGCCCGCAUUGGGGGCAGUGAUUCGAUUAGUUGAUUUGGAUCACUGUCCCUGAUUCAAUUCUGCCAAAUGCAAAUCUGAAGGUUCGAUGCUGAUUCAGAGAAUCAGCUAUUCAGCCAUAGACACAGCUUUAAACAUUUUUU